AUGGAGGAGGCGGCGUCGGACGACCCCAGGCUGGCCAUGAAGUGGAGGGCGUUCCGAUCGCGCCGCAGCACUCCGAUAGGUCGGUCAGAGUUCGUCGUUGGGGCGGUGAUGGGCCUCCCUGCACCGGUGCCUGUGGAGAAGAUGGAGGUGCAGGCAGAUCCAGAGAGCAGCAAGGCCAAGGGGGGAGCGAAGCCUGGUUCGAAGAGGAAGAAGGCGAAUAUGCCACUGGUGCUAAGGAGAUCGCCACGCUUCCCUCACCGUUCGCUACGCCUGCUCUGCCUCGCCCGUUCCCAGGGACGGGAAUAG
This 306-nucleotide ribosomal RNA is filed under the name Triticum aestivum (bread wheat). Its description in RNAcentral is "partial small subunit ribosomal RNA". The record is from RNAcentral. Lineage: Eukaryota; Viridiplantae; Streptophyta; Magnoliopsida; Poales; Poaceae.